UACGUAGGGUGCAAGCGUUAAUCGGAAUUACUGGGCGUAAAGCGUGCGCAGGCGGUUGUGUAAGACAGAUGUGAAAUCCCCGGGCUCAACCUGGGAACUGCAUUUGUGACUGCACAGCUGGAGUGCGGCAGAGGGGGAUGGAAUUCCGCGUGUAGCAGUGAAAUGCGUAGAUAUGCGGAGGAACACCGAUGGCGAAGGCAAUCCCCUGGGCCUGCA
RNAcentral lists this ribosomal RNA (216 nucleotides) under uncultured bacterium. Its description in RNAcentral is "partial 16S ribosomal RNA". It matches the Rfam family "Bacterial small subunit ribosomal RNA", at positions 524 to 739 of the family's 1533-position model. The record is from RNAcentral.